UACGUAGGGUGCAAGCGUUGUCCGGAAUUAUUGGGCGUAAAGAGCUCGUAGGCGGUUUGUCGCGUCUGCUGUGAAAACUCGGGGCUUAACCCCGGGCCUGCAGUGGAUACGGGCAGACUAGAGUGCGGUAGGGGAGACUGGAAUUCCUGGUGUAGCGGUGAAAUGCGCAGAUAUCAGGAGGAACACCAAUGGCGAAGGCAGCUUGCUGGGACGGUACUGACGCUGAGACGCGAAAGCGUGGGGAGCAAACAGG
Molecule: ribosomal RNA, 253 nt
Filed under: uncultured bacterium
Lineage: Bacteria
Description: partial 16S ribosomal RNA
Rfam family: Bacterial small subunit ribosomal RNA
Source: RNAcentral